CCGGGCUCCAGCGUUUCUCCUCCACUUCGCUCCUGCUGUGCGCGGGAGCCGAGCCAAGGGCUCUUCUCUCACCCAAGCUGAGGCUGUUUCCCAGGCUGCUUGCCCUGAACACCUCCACCUCUGCCCUCUGCCAGCGACCCCUCUUCUUGGCCCAUGGAGCCCGUGGAUCUGCAAGCUCAGGGGAAGGAUAAGGAAAGGCUCACGACAGAAUGGCCCUUGGAGGAGCGCUGGAGCUGCAGAAAUAAGGAGAAUGCCUCCACCGUGGAUUUUGACACAGAGCAAGUCAGAGAUCCCGAGGAGGUCACACCUGCUGCCAGGGAGGGGCACUGCCAUCCAGAGAG
This 341-nucleotide long non-coding RNA is filed under the name Zonotrichia albicollis (white-throated sparrow). Its description in RNAcentral is "lncRNA (ENSZALG00000003399.1)". The record is from RNAcentral. Lineage: Eukaryota; Metazoa; Chordata; Aves; Passeriformes; Passerellidae.